GGAGUCUGCAACUCGACUCCAUGAAGCUGGAUUCGCUAGUAAUCGCGCAUCAGCCAUGGCGCGGUGAAUACGUUCCCGGGCCUUGUACACACCGCCCGUCAAGCCAUGGGAGUCGGGAGUGCCUGAAGUUCGUGACCGUCACAGGAGCGACCUAAGGCAAGACCGAUGACUGGGGCUAAGUCGUAACAAGGUACC
RNAcentral lists this ribosomal RNA (195 nucleotides) under uncultured bacterium. RNAcentral's name for it is "partial 16S ribosomal RNA". It matches the Rfam family "Bacterial small subunit ribosomal RNA", at positions 1300 to 1500 of the family's 1533-position model. The record is from RNAcentral.